Molecule: ribosomal RNA, 255 nt
Filed under: uncultured bacterium
Lineage: Bacteria
Description: partial 16S ribosomal RNA
Rfam family: Bacterial small subunit ribosomal RNA
Source: RNAcentral
UACGGAGGGUGCAAGCGUUAUCCGGAUUCACUGGGUUUAAAGGGUGCGUAGGCGGCCCCUGUAAGUCAGUGCUGAAAUACCCCGGCUUAACCGGGGGGGGUGGCAUUGAUACUGCAGGGCUUGAGUACAGAUGAGGUAGGCGGAAUUGACGGUGUAGCGGUGAAAUGCAUAGAUAUCGUCAAGAACACCGAUAGCGAAGGCAGCUUACUGGGCUGUAACUGACGCUGAUGCACGAAAGUGUGGGGAUCAAACAGG